CUGCUGUGCACAGUUCCUGUGAUCGGUGCCGCUGAACUGUACCCCUAAACGAUGUGAAAACGAUGGAUGCAUGAUUUCGUGCACCGCGAUACCUCGGCCGCUGGCCACCCGCCCUGCGCGCCCUUCUCCGGGAUCCCCUCCCUGCGCGCGGGGCGUCCUCUUCCCACACAAGGAAAGUCGCGGCCCUCAGGGAGCAACAGCGCUGGGGCAUGGGGCUGUGGUCCAGGAGCAGCGGAUCUGGGAGAACGGGGUCCUGAGAAGAAGGAAAGGUUUCCUGAGAAGAUCCUGUGUCCAGUAUGGGUUGAGCAGCUCCCUCCACGUUCUUCCACUGUGCUGCUCCUGCCUUGGAGCCCUCUGACCAUGGACGGAACCCUGUGAAACCAUGAAACAAAAUAAACCUCUCCUCCUUUGAGUUGCAGUGCCUGGUAUUUGUCCCUCCUAUGUGAAUGUGACUAGCACAGGACCUAACCUACUGGAUACCACAGCUUGAUUUAGCCUUGAACCUUGAUCUUGAACUGCUCAGAACACUUAGGUUAGCCUAGAGGUGGGCAAAAUCAUCAAAUACAGAACUUCAUUAAACAUUGAGCGUCUCCUGGGUCCAGUGCACUGUAGCACGGCCACUCUUCCUCCUCCUGCUCACUCCUAUGCCCAGCAUCGCAAGAGUAUGGUACUGCACAUGGCUAGACUGG
Molecule: long non-coding RNA, 689 nt
Organism: Heterocephalus glaber (naked mole-rat)
Lineage: Eukaryota; Metazoa; Chordata; Mammalia; Rodentia; Bathyergidae
Source: Ensembl